AACGACCAUCAAAUUUUGAACCGUGCUGGAGAACUCGAGAGGUUAAUUAUUCUGACAAAUCAGUAACAGCUAUGGCUCCGGAAAUAGAAUCAAGCUGAGCUAUAUACAUUCAGGCAGUCUUCUCAAUGCAAACUAUAUCAAAACUGAUGUCUUUGGCCUUGAGAUCCCCACUGAAACUGAAGGUGUUCCCUCUGAGAUUCUUCAACCUAUGAACACUUGGUCUGACAAAAAUGGUUAGAAUGAGACACUGUUGAAGCUGGCUGGUUUGUUCAAAAAGAACUUUGAGGUCUUCACUAACUACAAGAUUGGAGAGGAUAACAGCC
Molecule: non-coding RNA, 323 nt
Organism: Amborella trichopoda
Lineage: Eukaryota; Viridiplantae; Streptophyta; Magnoliopsida; Amborellales; Amborellaceae
Source: RefSeq, a predicted model, not a curated record